This is an RNA transcript of Phoenix dactylifera (date palm), 1469 nucleotides long. It is a transcript of the gene named transcription factor bHLH128-like, with no coding region annotated. The record is from RefSeq and is a predicted model, not a curated record. NCBI's taxonomy places the organism in Eukaryota, Viridiplantae, Streptophyta, Magnoliopsida, Arecales, Arecaceae.
CCCCCACCUGGUCCCCCUUAGGGCACAAACCUAAGCUUUAAUCUCCGCCUGGGCUCUUCUUUGUUUGGCUUUCUCUUAAAGGCGAUGAACCAAUCACCGUCGUCGAGCAACAGACCGGGUUUGAUGGAGCCGCCGGUGCUCGCUCGUUACGGGUCCGCACCGGGGUCGCUGAUGGCGGGGAUCGCGGAGUCGGUGAUUGGCGGCGGCGGAGGCGGCGAAUUCUCGGCCGUCGGAUCGGAGAGCAUGAUGAGCCGGUUCUUCUCGGGGGACUCCUCGUGCCUCACGGCGGAGUCCAGCUGCCGGACCACCGCAUCUCCCAGGAAGGAGAGCGGUUUGCAGAGAUCGUACGGAUUCGGCGAGCUCAACGUGGCGGCCGAUCUGAAGACGGCCGCCGGUGGGUCCCAACUUGUCCGGCACAGUAGCUCGCCUGCUGGGUUCCUCGCCCACCUCACGGUGGAUCCCGGUAUUUCUGCGACAACGGGGCAUAUAAACUAUUCCCAUACAACGACUGAUGGUGUCCAUGUUCUGGAAAAUAGAAGGUUGACAUCCCAGUGGAGCUUCUCGAGGCAGGAUUCACUAUCACAAAUCUCUGAGAUGAGUAUCCCGGACAUUGGAGAAAGCAUCACUGCUGGCAAUAGCUCUGAUGAGGCAGCUGGGCAUGUUAGCCAGUCCUAUAUUUCUAACAAUUUUCCAGUUGGAACAUGGGAUGAUACCAAUUCGAUUGUAUUUUCGGCUCCUCCAAGCAAACGAGCCAAGGAUAACAAUGGGGACAUUAUUACUAGUCUCAGUAACAUUGACUCUCAGUUUAGCCUGCCGAGUACAUCAUUAGAUAUGUCUACCAUUGAGAAGUAUCUCCAAAUGCAAGAAGAUUCAGUCCCUUGCAAAGUUCGAGCUAAGCGGGGUUGCGCAACACAUCCCCGGAGCAUUGCUGAGAGGGAUAGAAGAACAAGAAUUAGCAGGAGGUUGAGGAAGCUGCAAGAUUUUGUGCCUAACAUCGAUAAGCAAACAAGUACAUCAGACAUGUUGGAUUUGGCAGUUCAGUAUAUUAAAGAGCUGCAGAGCCAGAUUGAGAAACUUAACCAAGAACAAGCAAAUUGCGUAUGUGGAAGAAAGCAAGAGAAGGUUUGAGAAAACCCCAUUUUUAUAUAUAUAUAAGGGCAUGCUGUUGUUGUUAGUAUUAGAGGGGAAGAAGGUCUUCACGAACUUUUCUGCCAUGGAAAGAAUGUUUGAAGUAGCCGCAGUAAACCUAUCAGGAUCAUGUUCUAUGGCAAAGCAGCCUGCCGAACCAACACGUUUAUUGACAACAAAAAUUGACAUCAGGAAUGGUGUAGAAUUCAUAGGGGGGAGCAGAUAAGUUUGAAUAUCAUGUGCAUGAUGACCAAUGUAAACAAAGAUUAAAGAUGGACCAAGUUUAGAGUUACGUUUUGCAAGUUUUUUCCCAGUGAAACCAAGUCUGACUUUGGGUAUUU